UUCGAGACGGNUCCAGAAUGGUCACUCUUUGGACACUCGUAUACAGGUGGUGCAUGGUUGUCGUCAGCUCGUGUCGUGAGAUGUUGGGUUAAGUCCCGCAACGAGCGCAACCCUCGUUUCUAUGUUGCCAGCACGUUAAUGGUGGGAACUCAUGGGAUACUGCCGGGGUCAACUCGGAGGAAGGUGGGGAUGACGUCAAAUCAUCAUGCCCCUUAUGUCUUGGGCUUCACNCNUGCUACAAUGGCCGGUACAAAGGGCUGCAAUACCGCGAGGUGGAGCGAAUCCCAAAAAGCCGGUCCCAGUUCGGAUUGAGGUCUGCAACUCGACCUCAUGAAGUCGGAGUCGCUAGUAAUCGCAGAUCAGCAACGCUGCGGUGAAUACGUUCCCGGGCCUUGUACACACCGA
RNAcentral lists this ribosomal RNA (405 nucleotides) under Microbacterium oxydans. Its description in RNAcentral is "bacterial SSU rRNA". It matches the Rfam family "Bacterial small subunit ribosomal RNA", at positions 988 to 1393 of the family's 1533-position model. The record is from RNAcentral. Lineage: Bacteria; Bacillati; Actinomycetota; Actinomycetes; Micrococcales; Microbacteriaceae.